GGUCACGUAAGCAGACAGUUCCUUGCACACGUCAUUUUGUUUUGGGUCCUCUAGCGGCGUGCUACGGUACUUCGGCGCGGGGAUCCCAAUGAGUGCCAUUGGUCUGCAACUACCGAGGACAGCGCUGAACUCCGGGACGCCUCCGCGAACAAGGCUUGCCCUGGACGCCGCACGCCGCCAAAUCUGACGCUACAUUCACCAUGCUAAGCAGAGGUUCUGAGGAACGAAACGUGCCGCGGGUGUAGCCUUUAGAGCUCUCAGGGAUCUCGCAUCGAUGGGGCUGGUGAGUGCCGCAUGUUCCUGUAUCUACCCUUGCUUGCCUCUGUGUUUUCUCUUG
Schistocerca serialis cubense is the source of this 337-nucleotide long non-coding RNA. RefSeq lists it as uncharacterized. The transcript is spliced from 3 exons. The record is from RefSeq and is a predicted model, not a curated record. Lineage: Eukaryota; Metazoa; Arthropoda; Insecta; Orthoptera; Acrididae.